Molecule: ribosomal RNA, 626 nt
Filed under: Staphylococcus aureus
Lineage: Bacteria; Bacillati; Bacillota; Bacilli; Caryophanales; Staphylococcaceae
Description: partial 23S ribosomal RNA
Rfam family: Bacterial large subunit ribosomal RNA
Source: RNAcentral
GCUGAGUAUUAGGCAAAUCCGGUACUCGUUAAGGCUGAGCUGUGAUGGGGAGAAGACAUUGAGUCUUCGAGUCGUUGAUUUCACACUGCCGAGAAAAGCCUCUAGAUAGAAAAUAGGUGCCCGUACCGCAAACCGACACAGGUAGUCAAGAUGAGAAUUCUAAGGUGAGCGAGCGAACUCUCGUUAAGGAACUCGGCAAAAUGACCCCGUAACUUCGGGAGAAGGGGUGCUCUUUAGGGUUAACGCCCAGAAGAGCCGCAGUGAAUAGGCCCAAGCGACUGUUUAUCAAAAACACAGGUCUCUGCUAAACCGUAAGGUGAUGUAUAGGGGCUGACGCCUGCCCGGUGCUGGAAGGUUAAGAGGAGUGGUUAGCUUCUGCGAAGCUACGAAUCGAAGCCCCAGUAAACGGCGGCCGUAACUAUAACGGUCCUAAGGUAGCGAAAUUCCUUGUCGGGUAAGUUCCGACCCGCACGAAAGGCGUAACGAUUUGGGCACUGUCUCAACGAGAGACUCGGUGAAAUCAUAGUACCUGUGAAGAUGCAGGUUACCCGCGACAGGACGGAAAGACCCCGUGGAGCUUUACUGUAGCCUGAUAUUGAAAUUCGGCACAGCUUGUACAGGAUAGG